AUUUUCGUUUCAUUUAAGUAGUUAUGGUGUAUAACGGGUGAUUUUUUUUAUUAUGAACCAUCAACUUGGCUGAUUGAAAAAUCUUGGAUUUUUUUCGAGUUAAUUUAAUAACUGUUUUUUCUAAUCAUUAUGGAAUCGCUUAAGCAUGCUUUUAAACAAUUUUUAAUUUUUUACCAUUUCUCCAUAUAGGUACCUUAAAUAAGUACGUAAUUUUGAUUUUAAAAUAAGAACUUCCCCCCUUUCUGGACACAGAUUUAAAUAAAGAAUAUUUUUAUAGAUAUUUUAGGUGAUAAGUUUCAAAGCGAGUUC
Molecule: non-coding RNA, 309 nt
Organism: Cinara cedri
Lineage: Eukaryota; Metazoa; Arthropoda; Insecta; Hemiptera; Aphididae
Source: the annotation of a GenBank genome assembly